Passer domesticus (house sparrow) is the source of this 1988-nucleotide long non-coding RNA. RefSeq lists it as uncharacterized. The transcript has 4 exons. Lineage: Eukaryota; Metazoa; Chordata; Aves; Passeriformes; Passeridae. The record is from RefSeq and is a predicted model, not a curated record.
AGGGGAGGCGCUGACGUCAGGCUUUCGAGCGGUGACGUCAGACUGAGCGGUGACGUCACGGUGAGGUCUGUCGGCUGAUGUCACUCCUGGCUUCCUCCCGGGCGCGAUGGCGUCACACCGCAGCUGCGGGGCGGCUCUGACCCGUCCUGCGCGGCCGCGGCGCUGCCCUGGGUGAGCCGGGGCCUGUGGAAGCGUCAGGGCCGAGCGGUGUCGGCAGAGGGCCCGUGCUAAACCCCCCCUUGCACUCCUUGGUAAUCGUGUUUGGCCCGUUUUUACAUGGACUGAACAGCAGAGUUUCCAGCUCUGCGUAACUCAGUGCCUGAGCAGCCUGUGAGGAGCCGUGGGCCCAAAGAAAGCCCUGAAGGUUUCUGCUGAAGGGGCAGCUGCUGAUCCCAGUGGGAAUCAGCUGGGAGCAGCUGCACUGCUCACUCAGCUGAAGUUGAGGAAAAAUAGAAUGGAAGAACACAUGCACAGAAUUUAUUUUUAACAAGAUAAACCAAGAUACUGACUUUGUUGUCCUCUACUCCAGGUGUUCCUGCUAAAGAGACAAUGACUUGCAGAGGAUUAGAAUAACAACAAAGGUCAGUGAUUCUUAGUCAGUGUGAGAUGGUGAAAUGACAGUUGGAGCAUGAAAUUUCCUGCACUUCCAGUAUGUGUGUGAAAUUAUGUAGAAAAAACAGGGAUUCAAGAAAUAACAGUGGCAUGGUGCAGCCUGAUAUGAGAAAAAAGACAAAGCUUGAACAUUUGAAUGAUCUGAGUUACAUAAGUAUAUUCUAUUUCUGCUGGUCUGAGUAUAAUAAAAGUAUAAAACUCAUUCCUAUUUAAACAGAAUUCUAUCUUUUGAAACUGAAAAUGGUGUAGUAGUUUAAAACAAAUAGUAAUGGUAUUUUGUAACACAAUUUCACUGUUGUAUUAUCAAGUCCAUUUAAUAUUUUUGGACUCAUUGCCUUGAAUUUGUGAUUUUUACAACUGAUUUCUCCAGGCAGAUGUUUCUAGGUCACAGGAUAGGAUCUUUUGUGUCACGAUUACUCUUUUCAUAAAGAACAAAAUAUCCUUUCCUUUAUACAGAAGCCUCUUUCAUUUUAGGAACCAGGAGAACUAAGAUGUACCUAUUGUACAGAAAUGCUUCUCAUGAGCUUACAAGACCUUUGUAUUAUUGGCACUCAAUUUUAUCAUGAGUCUCAGGUAAUGAUAUUUUUUUCCCCUCAGAUUUGGAUUUAAUGAACUUUUUAUAGCAAAGAAUGUCAACAUUAACUAUUUGCCUGAUACUUUUUUUCCUCCUCAAAGUGAAUAUGUGGACUGUGGACUGUUCUUACAAUUUCAUUUUCAUUCCCUGAUGAACUUACAAAUUGCAAAAGAUGGCAAAUGAGAGAGUCCAGUGUUGAUGGCUUCCCAAUACCAAAGUAUCCCAAGAAAAGGGGAUUGUGCCAUAAAGCACAAUGCAGUUACAGCUCUCUGAGGAAAAGAGAUUUCAGGCCUGUGGUGCUCUUCUGACUCCUUCAAACACCAAAAAAAGAUCUGCUGAGGGGAUGAAGUGGGGGCUGGAGAACUGAAGGUACAUUAUGCAUUCCUGCUGCACUUUUAAACUCAUUUAUUUACACACUGAAAAACCACAGGUUACCUGGCCAUCUGCUGAGACCCCUGGGUGGAUUUUGCAGGUCACUGAGCUCUGUGCUCGCAGACCUCAAGGCACCUCAUUAAAACCCAUGCAGGUAUGUCCACACCAGCUGUACUUACACCACCUGACAGGGGAAUUCCAGUUAGGCAGUACCUGAAUGGCAUUUAAUGGCACCAAGGCUUCUGAUAGUUCAGUCCAAGCACGUUGUAGAUAAUACCUGGAAUGAGUAAUAAGACCUGAUAAUGCAGGGAGAAAUAACAUAUGUUAAAUAGGCUUUUGUCCCUCCAGGUUUAAGUUUCACCAGCCUAUUUUCAGAGCACUGCCUCAAAUUGCCCAAGUGGUAGUUCUGCACCUGGGCAUGCUGCAGGAA